Molecule: ribosomal RNA, 447 nt
Filed under: uncultured bacterium
Lineage: Bacteria
Description: bacterial SSU rRNA
Rfam family: Bacterial small subunit ribosomal RNA
Source: RNAcentral
AGCGAACGCUGGCGGCAGGCCUAACACAUGCAAGUCGAACGCCCCGCAAGGGGAGUGGCAGACGGGUGAGUAACGCGUGGGAACAUACCCUUCGGUUCGGAAUAACUCAGGGAAACUUGGGCUAAUACCGGAUACGUCCGUGAGGAGAAAGAUUUAUCGCCGAAGGAUUGGCCCGCGUAAGAUUAGCUAGUUGGUGAGGUAACGGCUCACCAAGGCUAUGAUCUUUAGCUGGUCUGAGAGGACGAUCAGCCACACUGGGACUGAGACACGGCCCAGACUCCUACGGGAGGCAGCAGUGGGGAAUAUUGGACAAUGGGCGCAAGCCUGAUCCAGCCAUGCCGCGUGAGUGAUGAAGGCCUUAGGGUUAGUAAGCUCUUUCGGCGGGGACGAUAAUGACGGUACCGCAGAAGAACGCCCGGCUAACUUCGUGCCAGCCGCCGCAGUAAC